UGUACCUUUUCAGUGGCUAGGGAAAGUCCCCAUUGACUUAAUUGCUUUUGUAAGACAGGGAACAUUUGCUGUAAAACUGUAAGGUCUUGAUGACAUAACAGCACAUCAUCCAUAUAAUGGAUAGACAGGACCUGCGGGAACUGUCUUUUAACUGGGGCAAGUGCCUGAUCAACAAAGAGCUGACAGAUGGUUGGACUAUUGGCCAUUCCCUGAGGCAAAACUUUCCAUUGGUAUCUCUUAUCUGGUUCUGCAUGAUUUAAAGAAGGUACCGUAAAGGCAAAACGCGGGCGAUCAACGGGAUGUAAGGGUAUGGAGAAAAAACAGUCCUUAAUAUCUAUGAUCAGAAGGGGCCACCCUUUUGGCAGGGCAGUGAGUAGAGGCAAUCCUCGCUGGACCGGACCCAAUAGUAACAUUUGUGCAUUAAUGGCCCUUAGGUCAUGCAACAAGCGCCAUUUUCCCGAUUUCUUUUUGAUAACAAAAAUCGGAGUAUUCCAAGGCGAAGUGGAUGGUUCUAUAUGACCAAGGCAAAGCUGUUCUGUGCCCUGGCUUUCCACAAUUAAAACAGAGCCUCCGAUCCUUGAAGCCCGUCGGCUUUCUUUGUGAUUGAAGAAUGGCAGCCGCCAAGCCUGCAUUAGUAAGCGGUCCUCCGAGUUCUCUGCAUACCCUGAGCCAAUCAUCUAAACCUUUUCCUUUCCUAGGGGCAAUUGCUGUUUUACAUUCUUGUGUAGCCUGCUCGAAGAUGAGCUGUUCUAUCAACGGCUUAACCUGCUCUGUAUCUCCAAAAAUUCUUCCUGCCGCUUCCGUCAUUCUUGCCACAAAAUCGGAAAACGGCUCCUGAGGUUGUUGUAUAAUCUUGUCUCCAAGGUAGUUAAUAUGGAUUGAGAGGACCCCAUGGUGGCUGCAGCUUACCUACGUCUGACUAAUCACCACCGUUACCAAUGGUACAGAUGCUCGCGGCUUAUCUACGUCCGUCUUACAGCAAAUGGGGAAAAACGAAAGCAAAGGACAGAAGAGACUGUUCAGGCCCCUUUAUCUACAGGAGGCUUAGGUGACCAGUAUAAAGAAGACAAGAACAAUACCAAGGAGGACGAUUGCUUCAGGCAAACCCUCCCAAGGCGGAGACAACCCCAGACCAAAGUCCCAGAUCAGCAUACCUCUCCGAACUUACCUGCCUGCAGUUCUGAAUCCUCCUCGUUUCCAAGGGGUCUUCGAUGGUGCGGACGAUGGCUUGGUCAGUUUUAUUCCCGGGUUUCGGCACCAGUUGUCCCGCGCUCUAUCUCGCCCGCAAGAAUGACGCGGCACACGAUCAGGAUCCUUCUGCAGUAAGCUUUAUUGCCCCUGAGAGGGGGAGCAUAAGCUAUCACAAA
Molecule: long non-coding RNA, 1367 nt
Organism: Mesocricetus auratus (golden hamster)
Lineage: Eukaryota; Metazoa; Chordata; Mammalia; Rodentia; Cricetidae
Exons: 3
Source: RefSeq, a predicted model, not a curated record